This 406-nucleotide ribosomal RNA is filed under the name uncultured bacterium. RNAcentral's name for it is "bacterial SSU rRNA". It matches the Rfam family "Bacterial small subunit ribosomal RNA", at positions 223 to 621 of the family's 1533-position model. The record is from RNAcentral.
AGAGCGGCCGAUGUCUGAUUAGCUAGUUGGUAAGGUAAUGGCUUACCAAGGCGACGAUCAGUAGUUGGUCUGAGAGGACGACCAGCCACACUGGGACUGAGACACGGCCCAGACUCCUACGGGAGGCAGCAGUGGGGAAUUUUGGACAAUGGGCGCAAGCCUGAUCCAGCAAUGCCGCGUGAGUGAAGAAGGCCUUCGGGUUGUAAAGCUCUUUCAGUCGAGAAGAAAAAAUUGUGACUAAUAAUCAUAAUUGAUGACGGUAUCGACAGAAGAAGCACCGGCUAACUACGUGCCAGCAGCCGCGGUAAUACGUAGGGUGCGAGCGUUAAUCGGAAUUACUGGGCGUAAAGGGUGCGCAGGCGGUUUUGUAAGUCAGAUGUGAAAUCCCCGGGCUUAACCUGGGAAU